This is a long non-coding RNA of Clupea harengus (Atlantic herring), 1895 nucleotides long. The record is from Ensembl. Lineage: Eukaryota; Metazoa; Chordata; Actinopteri; Clupeiformes; Clupeidae.
AGAUGUGUGUGAGAGCACGGAGCCUAGAUGUGUGUGAGACCACGGAGCCUAGAUGUGUGUGAGAUGUGUGUGAGAGCACAGAGUCUAGAUGUGUGUGAGAGCACAGAGUCUAGAUGUGUGUGAGAUCACAGAGUCUAGAUGUGUGUGAGAGCACAGAGCCUAGAUGUGUGUGAGAGCACAGAGUCUAGAUGUGUGUGAGAUGUGUGUGAGAGCACAGAGUCUAGAUGUGUGUGAGAUGUGUGUGAGAGCACAGAGUCUAGAUGUGUGUGAGAGCACAGAGUCUAGAUGUGUGUGAGAGCACAGAGCCUAUAUGUGUGUGAGAGCACAGAGCCUAGAUGUGUGUGAGAGCACGGAGCCUAGAUGUGUGUGAGAUGUGUGUGAGAGCACAGAGUCUAGAUGUGUGUGAGAGCACGGAGCCUGCCUGUGUUGUUGGCUGUGUCCCAGUGGUGGUUGUUUAUGAUGCCAUUCGUCUGUAUUACGAGCACUGCCAAGCCUGAUUGGUGUAAACAGACCCCAUUGGGUUUUUUUGCGUUUUGCUUCACAGCCAGAAAGAGAGAGAAAAAACUCACAACUUUUCCUUUGUCCUCAGGUAUGUUUACAUUGUAAUGCAAUACUCAUAACCCACUUGGCAGAUGAGUGAAAUUGUAAAGUGAAAAACUAUGAAAAGUGAAAAACUGUGUCACCACAUUUUGUUUGAUUAGGAAAUUCUACUCUAAAAACAGGCAAAGUUGUCUGUCUCUGUCCCUGCUCAUUCCAAUUGACUGCAGAAAGCUUAAGUUGACAGCAGCGCUCUGUAACAGAAGCAGGUGUGUGUGUGUGUGUUAGUGUUGUGUGUGUGUGUGUGUGUGUAUGUGUGUGUGUGUGUCAGGAGGUCUGGGCGGGCCGUUGCCUUUGAUUUCAGUGCCACUCAGAAGCACCACAAGCCUUUCUGUGACAUCAUCAGUGACAUCAUCAGUGCUUUAACCACUUCCCUCAGUCCCCAGGAGAAAGCAACACCUGACACACCCAACCCACCCUCCACCCCUACACACACACACACACACACACACACACACAAUCCACCCCCCACCCCUACACACACACACACACACAAACACACACACACACACACAACCCACCCCUACACACACACACACACACACACACACACACACACACACACAACCCAACCAUACACACACACACACACACACAAUCCACCCCCCACCCCUACACACAGACACACACACACAUACAACCCACCCCUACACACACACACACACACACACACACACAACCCACCCCGACCCAACCCUACACACACAUACACACACACACACACACACACACACACAUAAACAACCCACCCCCCACCCCUACAAACACACACACACACAAACACUCUCUCUCACUCACACACACAUACACACACACACACACACACACACACACACACACACACACACUCUAACACUUUCUCUCAUUCACACACUCACACUCACUCACACACACACACACACACAACGUAAAGGAAAAGAAACACAGACACCCAUUAAACUGCUCUGCCGUGGAAUUUGUGGGGUUCAGUUGCUGUGAGAUUUAUCUUGCUAUGUGAGUGUGUGUGUGUGUGUGUGUGUCCAAAUAUGACACAGAAGGUGUGGGUGUUGGGAUGAGUUUGGGUCUUUUUGCUUGUUUGUUUGUUUGUCUGUUUUUUUGUUGGUAGGUUGGUUUGUUUUUAUUUGCGCCGACGCCUGGAUGCCAGGGCGCUGUCCUUCUGUGAGUGUCUCUCCUGGCCAAGGAUGUCCACUUGCCCCCCCCCCCCCCAACCCCCCCGCCUGUCUCUACUUUAUACACCACGGCCCUCUCUUCCUCACGGCCCUCCUCCUCUUCCUCCUUUCUAUGUGACAAGCUUAUGG